UCCGGUCGCCGCCGUGGCUGCCGCUGCCUUUGGAGCCCGAGGUGAACCCGCGCGGGCUCGGGAUGCUCCAGCGCCGCCGCGGCCGCCUCUCGCCGCCGGCCGGCGUGAGCACCGGCUCCGCCUGGCCGGCCGCACCCGUCAACCGCCGGAGACACCGCCGCCGGAGCUCGCCGUCCGCCGGAAUGGACCCGUGCUCCCCACGGGUUUGGUGGCUAGGGCAUCAUUGAUCGUCGUCGCCGCCUCCUUCCGUCGCCUGCUGACGCGAGCCCCGGCCACCUCGGACCUUCCGCACCAACCCCUGGCCGGCUUGCCCGCCGUCCGGCCGCCGCCGGCCACCCCGUGCCCUGCUAGCUCCGGUAAGCUUAGUUUAGCUUUCCUGCACUGUGAUUGCACUUUCCGGUCACCUUUUCGGUGAUCCGACGACUCCCCGACACCCCAGGAGGUGAGCACGGUGAUCCUGGGUUCGUGCCGAACACGAUGCUCACCUCUGCGAGGAUUAGGGAUGCCCCGGUUAGCAGGUUUAGGUAGAUCUUCGCGCUGUGCGCGCUUAUUCGCUGAACUUCGCGCCGCUCGUGCGCUCCCUACAGUAGCCGGAAUUGCUCCGAAAGGUGAGCACGGCCUCCAGCACAUCGAAACCUGUAAGUAGGUGUCUUAGCUCGACCGAUUGACCUCUGGUUUGCAUAGACGGACCAUAAAAGCCCGAAAAACACAUGAAAUAAUGUGAUUUCUUGGAAUCGGAUGGGCUUUUAUGCAAUUUGACUUGUCGUGGCUGCUGUUGGCAGCAUGGGUGAGCUGUGGGUGACCUCUGGACUGAUUGUCCAAGGCCCCAGACCUUUGAGAAGAUCGGAAAUGUAUUUUCGGUGCGUUUGUCGGCAAAAUCCGCCGACGGAACGCGGUUUUGGUUCGGAAUUAUUCCGACAGUGCUUCGUGAGCUAUUGUGUAGUCGCUGAGCCUUGUUGGCUGGUCACCAUCAUCACAUUGUGGGUUCGGUGAUGAUGGGUGAGCGACGGUGGGUUCCGGUGUCGAAAUAGACACUUCCGGGAACCCGGAUUCGUACAACUAUCCGGUGAUAGUUGUGUAGUGUUGUGAUCUUGUGUUUACUGCCAAAACAUCCAAAUUGGAGUGUUUUGGGGCAGCAGGUGACUCGUGACAUGAGUCGGUGAGUUUCGGGACACUUAGUGGGUCCCGACGGCGUCCCGGUGUGGUUUUCGGGACUUCCGGCGAGUUACGAUAAUCGGUAUUGGGAAACCGAUCUCCGUGGGAUAGUUGUGGGUUAUGCUUUUAGGGUUUCUUAGUUGUGGGUUAGACACUAACCCAGUGGACCCUCCUUAGGUCCGGUUGACGUUCUUUUGCAGUCAGGAGACAGACGCGACAGUUGUACAGGUGGGUACUUCGAUCCGACGUCGGUACAGUGGUGCACGCUCGGUGAUAUUCUUCUAUCCCUGUUCUCCUGUUAUUACUAUUGCUUAGUGUAGCUUAUUGAGCCUUGCACCUCUAUCGUCUACAUCUUACUCUACUCGUUGUUUGCAUGAUUAGUAUCCUGUGUAGGAGUAGAGUAGUUAUACCAUAUUUUCCUGUUGCUCUACUUGCCUGUUCUUCAUACCUUAUAUCAUGUUUAUAGUAGAGCGGUUCCGUGACCAUCUGUGAAAUUAGUGACCUAGUCGGUCGAUUCUAGUAUCCUGUAAUCGUGAUCUACUCGAUCGGUUCCUUGAUUCCUGUUGUUCGAUGACCCUUGAGGUCGGUAUACCCUGAGAGGUGGGAUUGUCGGCUAGUUGUCGACGGAUGAUUAUAGUCUUCACAGAUCCGUCAUUUGACCCUUGUGACCUAGUCUGUCCGUUCUGGAUUCUUGUCGUUUGAUGACCUUUGAGGUCGGUGUACCCUGCGGGGUAGGAUUGUCGGCUAGUGGCCGACGGUAGUUCUAUAUUAUAUACUCAGUUGACUUAUUGAUCAGUAUCUUCAUACUUUUGGUAGGAUGUUGAGUUGUUCCAUCCCAGUGACUUGAUUAGUCAGUACUUGCAUACAGUUGAGAGGAUGUAGAGUCGUUCCAUCCUAUUUGACCUGAGUGGUCGGUUCUUGUGCUUCUUUACAGUCGAUGACCUAUACGGUCGGUGAGCCCUGUGGGCAGGAUUGUCGGCUGGUUGCCGAUGGUUAGUCUUUGAGCAUAUCAGCAUCGAUUGCCCGACUCAUUAGCAUUUCACGAACACUGGCGGUCUGAUCCACCGCAAGGGGUGUUCUUUUCCGGAAAAGUGGUUGCUUGUGUCGACCCGUGAGCCCAGCGGUCAGGACUGGGUUAUAUGCAGGUAGAGUGUUAGUGGGCUUUUGCCUGAGGUCCUUAGACCGACACGGCGGUUUAGAUUGGGUAUUUUGGACUUCUUGUUCGGUUGACGCAUACGUCUAUAGUAGCAGUUGUUUCAUGCAUACUUACAGUUCUUUCUUUAUACUUGUCUUGCUACUAUAGUUUGAUACCCAGGUAUGGUUUAUAUUCUUCUUUACAGUAGCGGUAGUCGUUCUUAUACAUUCUGUUCAUAUAUCAUUGUUGCUACUGUACUUAGUAUAUCUGUUCAUUACCUUGUACAUAUCUUUCGUUUACUAUUGUUCCUACUGUAUCCCCACUGACUCGUUUUGUUGUAUAGUUCUUCCUGAUCCGGUGAGUACUCCUCGCCUUCUUCGGCUUGCGGUACCCACUGGGAGGGGAGACAUGUUUACAUGUUCUCACCUCCCCCACCAUUUUUCAGGUAUCGCGGGCGGUGUGGGUUGAGACGAGACGUGAGACACGUACGUAGCGAUCGAUAGAUCUUCCGACCCAGGUUGUUCGGUUUAGCUCUUACCCUUCUUAUUUCUGUUGAUAAAGCAUUGUUAGCGUAUAUGGUUCAGUAUUUAUUUACAUUUGAAAAUAUGGAUUUUCAUGAAUGUAAUAAACUGGUUUGUGAAUUCUGUAAAGUAAAAGGUUUUCUACCCCUCGUGGUAGCGUUUUUAAAAGAAUAAAGGUUUCUGUGCAGGAAACAGUUUUCAAAAGAUUUUUGUGGAAUUCUGUUUAAACCUUGAAUGUAAAACUGUGAUGUGAAUGGUGAAUGUAUGAAUGUAUAGUUAUCUUUAUAUUCAUUUGGUUGUGGUUGUAUGUAUAUCUAUACUCUGUUGUACUUGUGCGACGCCGUGCAAAUACAGGGGAGACUCUGUCCGUGUGAACAGUGGAUUCCCUGUGUUUGUGGCGGAUCUGGCACUCUGGGGUCAGGUUUUCAAAAAAAAAAAUUUUAUAGCUAAUUUUCCGCUGUGCUUUUGAACAAAAAGGGACCCCGGGGCGUGACAGAUUAAAGUGGUAUCAGAGAAGGGUUACAACCACAACACCAUUCACAGAUUGUUUUGAAAAGUAAAUGAACUGAACCAUUGGUUAGGUUGACCCUUAGAAAGACCUACGGUGUAUAGGCACGUGAGUGCGGGGUUUGGACUUGUGUCCAGGAUUGCAUUCGAGUCGGGUAAACUCGAAGUGCAUGGUUUCUGUAUGUGUUACGAUUCGCACAAGCUGGUGUCUAAGUCGGGAGUAGUGGCGGUGUACUUAUUCGGACAUCGUGUGGUAGAGCGACGUUCCCCAGGUGUUGCCACUCCUGUCAGUUGAGGCCUAGAAGGGCCAAGUGAGAUUUUCGGGCCUAGGCGAGUGUUAUGACUGCCGACGCCCCGGCCACUCUCUCUACUUAGGACACGAGAGCUACUGCGAAUGUCUCUACGGAGACGGUGCUUAGACCAGUCACGGUCGCGACUUCAGUGGUGCUACUAGGGUGUAGCCUAGGGUUUGGAUAGCGGUCGUUUCAGCGACUGCAUUGUUAGCGUUGCUUCUACAGACCUUUGGGUAGGGUUGCGAUGCCUACCUCUCCUUCUUGAUUGCUGAAUGGAAUCAGCGGUUCGAAUCUUUCGACCUUUACCUCGUUCAUUCUUCCUACUAGAGUCGGAUUGACACAGUUUGGUGUCAAGUUUUCGUUGAGGCAUACAUCGUAUGCGGUUAUUCUAACACCUAAAUUGGUGUUGUGGGUUAGUUGUAGUUGGUGAUAGGCCUCGUCUAGAUUCGAGAUAUUUCAUGGUCGUUAUGAUUUCGAAUGUCGACUUGUAAAGUCGAUGUUUCGACAGUAGUGGUUGUGAGCUCUUGGUUUAGUGAAGAGGUAUCAAAUGGCUUGAUACUUCGACGUGUUACACUUCCAACUCGUUGUUGGUAGUGGAUCUUCGGAUAUUUUGCUUUUCUUUUGAUAAGUAUAUUGGCUGCAGACAAUAUACUGUCGAAAGAGGGACGAAAUACCUUUUUUCCUGUUUGGGACUUCUGGAUUGGGUCGACGUGUUUUCUAGACUGUUUUGUGGGAAAAGCUCGAGUGAUAGUCAUCUCUGACCACGUAGCGAGCCUUGGGUUAUUCCUUAGCAGGUUUUGCACAGUGGACUUAUCGUCACUGAUAAAGGGGUUUUUGACUCUAGUUCGAGUCUGGGUGUUCGUAACUCUUUAGUUGUGCUUUCCACAGUUCAAAAGUUUGUUUGGUUAGUAGUCUUGGUUUGUCGUCUUGAGGUUCAGAAUCAGUGGAUGAGUGACUUGAGCCUGGUUGUUGGCUUUGAUUGUCACCAUAUGUGAUAGCGUACAAGGUUUGCGACUUGACUUCUCGUGCAAACCUUGGGUUAGCAUGCUUGUCCGGUCAUUUGAUGACAGGUGCGCCUGGGUCUCAAUGAGACAAGUAAUCGGGUGUUGCUGGGAACAUCGAUCGCUAGGGUCCAUGGCAGGACGACAGCGACAGGGUCUUGUAGAGACAGGUGUUGAGCAUCACCGAUGGUUAGUAUCGCUUUUGCGAUUGGCGACCUGUGCAUCAAGCGAUGGACUUGCAAAGAGCUUUCGGUGGUCUGUGGUAUCGGAUUAAGUUUGAGGAGACAAAAUUGUCUAGCGUAUUUGGUAUUGUCAGUUGGACCUUUUUGGUCAGGUAAAAAGUGAGGUCUUGGACCUAGGACUAUAGAUUGCCGUAAGUGACUAUCCACUGAUGGAGGUUUUGGCAGUUUGUGUGGUUACUGUUGGGAGACUGUGGUCUCCAAGGUGAGAGUUUUGACUCAGGUCUUAGAACAACGUUUCGUAUUCGCUCAUGGUGAGCAGGUUGACGUUGUUGGAUAGUCGGAGUUUUUCGUUUCAAGUCUACGUAAAUAGACUCUAGAUUAAAGUGGUGUUGACUUGAGUCUCUUCUACGUGAACCUUCGACGUAGUUGAGUCGGUUACUGGUGUGCGGACCAAGGUUGAGUAGACCUAGAAUUUCUAAGUGUUGAAAUGUUAUCUCAGAAACGGCAAAUUGGGAUCGAACAAUCCUAGUCGCGGGACUGUCUUUGUCCGCAGGUUAUAGGAUGAUAUUAAUACCGGUGAGCUUUGGUCCGUGGAUUUUGGGUUGGUACAUUUUCCCUCGAUUUGUCCAGGUGGAACCGCAGUCUUAUUUUUCCCCUUAUUCGAAGAUUGAUCUGUCCGCAUUCAUGAAAAUAUAAUUGACCAAUACUCAAGGGUGAUACCACAGUGGUGGAAGUAUUAUUCGAAUUCGAUUUCGGUGGGUAUGUGGUCAAGUUUCGGGGACGAAACUUCUUUUAAGGGGGGGAUAAUGUAAGGACUGAGAUUUUUACAGUGCAACUAAACUCUCUGUUGACAAUGUUUAUGUGUGUAAUUUAAUUACAUAAGCACUCGUCAAGUUUCAGGAGAAAAUGAGCUAAGGUGGAGAAGUUAUGAGACCCGGAAGUUUGACUUAAGUGAAUAGUAACUCCGGUUUUCCGGAGAAGCCACGAAGCAAACUCGGCCUCUGGCGCGUACAGACCUCCAAACAUAGGACUCCAAUAGCUCGUUUCGAACCUCUCGACUAUACUGGAACCACUGGCGCUGACAGAAUCGGAUUCUGAUGCACGGUUAUCGAGAAAAAGGAGUUUUAUCAAAAAGAGGGUUUUUGUUCUGUGCUAUUCGUGCAGUUUAAAGCUCCUCGUACUCUGUGCAUGUGACCUAGAGUUGAGUGGAGGACGUUUCUAGUACCUACUGGUGGUAGGAAGCCCAAAUUUGAAUUUGAAUUAAAGGUUUAGCGAGAUUACACAUUGGUAUAUGUUUGUGGUUUCUGAAAAUUGAGAGCGGACGGAUUUCGUCGUGAAUCGGGGGUCAAAUCGGAUGAAACGAAAUGCUAGAUUCGAUGCCCCCGACGUGCUGAACGCAAUGGUACUGUCGGAUCGAAAAUCCGACUGACGGAUCUCCGGAAAUUACGAGAAGUUCGCUGAGAGGUCGGCGAUGGCAAAACGGUAAUUUCGCAAAAGUCGCGAUAUUUUAUGUACCGUUUCGCGUGGAAUCGCACGUGGAGGGGUGUUCGCGUGUUUUACACGCGCUGUGAAGGACUUAGUAAUAAAUACUGAGGUUUGGUGGACUUAGUUGCAAAGUUGCACCUUAGUAUUUAUGGUAUCUAGGGUUUUCUAGCAUGAAACCCUAACCCUAGACCUAAGCCGCCCCCUAGCCACCUUCCCUUGUCACCCUGACCUGGCCGCGCACCUCCCGGCCGCCGCCGACCGUGCUCCGGCCGGCCACCGCCGCGGCAGCCACCUUUCUUCUUCACCUAUUCUCCAUCUCCCUCUCCAAACCUCUCUUUCUCUCGGGUUAGAGCCAGACCGAGGCUACUUUUCCAUCAAGACACCUUGCCGGCGUCGCCCCGUGUCUCGGCCACCUCCCGCCGACGCGAUCGCCGCCGCCCCGCCAGCCGCCAUCGCCGCCGCGCUGCUGCUUGCUGCCUCCCAGACCGAGCCCAGCCGAGCUGAGUGUGCGGCUUCAUCCUCAUCAGCAGCCGCCUGGGACUACUCCCGCGCCUUCCCCGGAAUCCCGGCAUCCCUCCCCGCCGGCCGCCGCCGCUCUGCGGUAGCGCCGCCGCCGCACGCCAUGGGCGCCGCGCCCAGGCCUGCAGACCGAGCCCAGCUCGAGCGGCAACGCCCGAGCCGCGGGCUGUCGCCGCCGUCACCCGCCGCCUCCUCCUCCCCCUCCGGCUCAGGGGACCCGCCGCCGACGUCCCGACCUCCUCCGGUCGCGCGCGUGGCUGCCGCUGCCUUUGGAGCCGCGAGGUGAACCGCGCGGGCUCGGGAUGCUCCAGCGCCGCCGCGGCCGCCUCUCGCCGCCGGCCGGCGUGAGCACCGGCUCCGCCUGGCCGGCCGCACCCGUCACCCGCCGGAGACACCGCCGCCAGGAGCUCGCCGCCGGAAUGGACCGUGCUCCCCACGGGUUUGGUGGCUAGGGCAUCAUUGACUUCGUCGCCGCCUCCUUCCGUCGCCUGCUGACGCAGCCCCGCCACCUCGGACCUUCCGCACCAACCCUGGCCGGCUUGCCGCCGUCCGCCGCCGCCGGCCACCCCGUGCCCUGCUAGCUCGCGUAAGCUUAGUUUAGCUUUCCUGCACUGUGAUUGCACUUUCCGGUCACCUUUUCGGUGAUCCGACGACUCCCCGACACCCCAGGAGGUGAGCACGGUGAUCCUGGGUUCGUGCCGAACACGAUGCUCACCUCUGCGAGGAUUAGGG
This 7530-nucleotide long non-coding RNA is filed under the name Ananas comosus (pineapple). RNAcentral's name for it is "long non-coding RNA (ACOM_LNC022291)". Lineage: Eukaryota; Viridiplantae; Streptophyta; Magnoliopsida; Poales; Bromeliaceae. The record is from RNAcentral.